GUCCACCCGUAACGUUGGGAACUAGUUGUGGGACCAUUCCACGGUUCCGUGACGCAGCUAACGCAUUAAGUUCCCCGCCUGGGGAGUACGGCCGCAAGGCUAAACUCAAAGGAAUUGACGGGACCCGCACAAGCGGCGGAGCAUGCGGAUUAAUUCGAUGCAACGCGAAGAACCUUACCAAGGCUUGACAUAUACGAGAACGGGCCAGAAAUGGUCAACUCUUUGGACACUCGUAAACAGGUGUGCAUGGUUGUCGU
Molecule: ribosomal RNA, 257 nt
Filed under: uncultured bacterium
Lineage: Bacteria
Description: partial 16S ribosomal RNA
Rfam family: Bacterial small subunit ribosomal RNA
Source: RNAcentral